Molecule: transfer RNA, 73 nt
Organism: Nocardiopsis sp. CNR-923
Lineage: Bacteria; Bacillati; Actinomycetota; Actinomycetes; Streptosporangiales; Nocardiopsidaceae
Rfam family: tRNA
About the family: Transfer RNA (tRNA) molecules are approximately 80 nucleotides in length. Their secondary structure includes four short double-helical elements and three loops (D, anti-codon, and T loops). Further hydrogen bonds mediate the characteristic L-shaped molecular structure. tRNAs have two regions of fundamental functional importance: the anti-codon, which is responsible for specific mRNA codon recognition, and the 3' end, to which the tRNAs corresponding amino acid is attached (by aminoacyl-tRNA synthetases). tRNAs cope with the degeneracy of the genetic code in two manners: having more than one tRNA (with a specific anti-codon) for a particular amino acid; and 'wobble' base-pairing, i.e. permitting non-standard base-pairing at the 3rd anti-codon position.
Source: Rfam
GCGGACGUGGCUCAGUUGGUAGAGCAUCACCUUGCCAAGGUGAGGGUCGCGGGUUCGAAUCCCGUCGUCCGCU